RNAcentral lists this long non-coding RNA (716 nucleotides) under Heterocephalus glaber (naked mole-rat). RNAcentral's name for it is "lncRNA (ENSHGLG00000033094.1)". Lineage: Eukaryota; Metazoa; Chordata; Mammalia; Rodentia; Bathyergidae. The record is from RNAcentral.
CACCCUUUUUCAGGUCCCUGGGCAGCCUGUCCCGGGGCAUUGCUGCUAUCCCUGGCAUCACUGCCUGUUCUUCGACAUAGCUGCCUGCCCCUGGCUGGGCCUGUUCCUAGGCUCCACUCCCUUCUUCAAGGUGCUGCUGCCCAACUCUGGAUCCUGCCAUCUGCUCCAGGGUCCUGCUGCUUACCCAGGAUCCCACUGCCAUCCCGUAGUCCUCUCCUGUGCAAACUAGAAGAUGAUGCCUCUUCCCUCUUCUUCGUCAGCUAUCAGCAACCAUCAAGACAGAGACACCUGAGCUUUCAGGGGACAGCGGCUCUUCAGUUCUUACUGGAAGAGAACUCAGACAUUGUGCCAGGAGACAAAUCCAAGUGACAGACGCUGUGCUCUCUCGGUUGAGCCUAGAGGCUCCAAGCCAUGACUCCACGCCCAGGAGAUGGGUUCUGCCCCCAAAGGUCUCUACAUCCCCGCGGGUAGUCUGUUCCCCGACCCCUGCCCUGUCCCCGGAUCAGUGGCCACAGGACCGAGAGGAUGUGCAAGACCCUGGGGCUGGGGCUGCACAAGACAUGCUAGCUAUCUAUGUGACUCUGCCCUAUGGAACUAGGCGGGAGAGUUCAAGCUUGUAGAAGCCAUGGAACAGAAGCAAGCAAAAGCUUGUCAGUAAAGUGACAGUUUAAUAUUUGUGUAAACCAAAUGGACACACAAUAAAUUUUAUAUUGGCA